AUGGCUCAGAUUGAACGCUGGCGGCAGGCCUAACACAUGCAAGUCGAGCGGAU
RNAcentral lists this ribosomal RNA (53 nucleotides) under Pseudomonas sp. URIL14HWK12:I8. RNAcentral describes it as "16S rRNA. Bacterial SSU". The record is from RNAcentral. Lineage: Bacteria; Pseudomonadati; Pseudomonadota; Gammaproteobacteria; Pseudomonadales; Pseudomonadaceae.